This 785-nucleotide ribosomal RNA is filed under the name Cambarus cracens. RNAcentral describes it as "eukaryotic LSU rRNA". The stretch from base 309 to 785 matches the Rfam family "Eukaryotic large subunit ribosomal RNA", at positions 665 to 926 of the family's 3401-position model. The record is from RNAcentral. Lineage: Eukaryota; Metazoa; Arthropoda; Malacostraca; Decapoda; Cambaridae.
GGGGACGUAACAAAGCGACCCAGGAAUGCUUGGGCGUGCCUCCACCCACGCCGGCGUCGGCGGGCGUAUUUCGCCUCACAGUAGGUCGCCGCGACCCGUUGCUUUUGGGGACGUCGAAGGCCCGGACGGAUUGGUACCCUACCGGCUGGGGAUGCGGCUUCGGCUUCUCCUCUUGUCCGGUGGGCGAAACCGCCGGUGUCCUGGCUGCCCUGCGACGGUCGUAGAGACGAGCCCUCCCCCAUUCGUGGGGGGCGGCUCUCGCGGCGUGCAAAAGGUCGGUGAUCCACCCGACCCGUCUUGAAACACGGACCAAGGAGUCUAACAUGUGUGCGAGUCAGUGGGCGCACUAAACCCAGAGGCGUAAUGAAAGUGACACGGGUUCGGCUGUCGCCUCGUGUGGCAGCCGGACUCAGGGCCGAUCCCUCACCGGUUGCCCUCGCCUCUCUCCCGCGUCUCGGUAAGCCGGGUGAGCUAUUUUCCCCGGCCAAUGCUGCGGGGCUCGGGGGGAGGCGGGGUUGCGAUGGUGUCCGUAAAAAAGAGCCUGCUGUUGCAGGGGGGCGCAGGCCCGGGACUUGCCAGGACGCCGCGAGACUGUCACUUUGCUGUGAGGCUCUAGGGCCGAUCAGCGGGUCAUGCGUGCAGUCGGCAAGUACCAUGAGCAGACAUGUUGGGACCCGAAAGAUGGUGAACUAUGCCUGGCCAGGAUGAAGCCAGAGGAAACUCUGGUGGAGGUCCGUAGCGAUUCUGACGUGCAAAUCGAUCGUCGGAGCUGGGUAUAGGGGCGA